This 216-nucleotide ribosomal RNA is filed under the name Glomeromycotina sp. RNAcentral's name for it is "partial small subunit ribosomal RNA". The stretch from base 40 to 216 matches the Rfam family "Eukaryotic small subunit ribosomal RNA", at positions 686 to 864 of the family's 1831-position model. Lineage: Eukaryota; Fungi; Glomeromycota. The record is from RNAcentral.
GGGUCAGUAGGUUGGUCGUGCCACCGGUACGUACUGGUCUCACUGAUUCCUCCUUCCUGAAGAACCGUAAUGCCAUUAAUUUGGUGUUGCGGGGAAACAGGACUGUUACUUUGAAAAAAUUAUAGUGUUUAAAGCAAGCUAACGCUUGAACACAUUAGCAUGGAAUAAUGAAAUAGGACGUUCGAUCCUAUUUUGUUGGUUUCUAGGAUUGACGUA